RNAcentral lists this ribosomal RNA (492 nucleotides) under uncultured bacterium. RNAcentral's name for it is "partial 16S ribosomal RNA". It matches the Rfam family "Bacterial small subunit ribosomal RNA", at positions 29 to 507 of the family's 1533-position model. The record is from RNAcentral.
AGUGAACGCUGGCGGUAGGCCUAACACAUGCAAGUCGAACGGCAGCACAGUAAGAGCUUGCUCUUACGGGUGGCGAGUGGCGGACGGGUGAGGAAUACAUCGGAAUCUACUUUUUCGUGGGGGAUAACGUAGGGAAACUUACGCUAAUACCGCAUACGACCUACGGGUGAAAGCAGGGGAUCUUCGGACCUUGCGCGAUUGAAUGAGCCGAUUUCGGAUUAGCUAGUUGGCGGGGUAAAGGCCCACCAAGGCGACGAUCCGUAGCUGGUCUGAGAGGAUGAUCAGCCACACUGGAACUGAGACACGGUCCAGACGCCUACGGGAGGCAGCAGUGGGGAAUAUUGGACAAUGGGCGCAAGCCUGAUCCAGCCAUACCGCGUGGGUGAAGAAGGCCUUCGGGUUGUAAAGCCCUUUUGUUGGGAAAGAAAAGCAGCAGGUUAAUACCCCGCUGUUCUGACGGUACCCAAAGAAUAAGCACCGGCUAACUUCGUG